Molecule: ribosomal RNA, 1202 nt
Filed under: Metarhizium anisopliae
Lineage: Eukaryota; Fungi; Ascomycota; Sordariomycetes; Hypocreales; Clavicipitaceae
Description: eukaryotic LSU rRNA
Rfam family: Eukaryotic small subunit ribosomal RNA (bases 1-382)
Source: RNAcentral
UUUAAACAGGUCUGUGAUGGCCUUAGAUGUUCUGGCCGCACAGCGCGCUACACUGGAGGAGCAGCGAGUAAUUCCUUGGCCGGAAGGCCCGGUAAUCUGGUAAACUCCGUCGUGCUGGGGAUAGAGCAUUGCAAUUAUUGCUCUUCCAACGAGGAAUCCUAGUAAGCGCAAAGUCAUCAGCUUGCGUUGAUUACGUCCCUGCCCCUUUGUACACACCCGCCCGUCGCUACUACCGAUAUGAAUGGCUCAGUGAGGCGUCCGGACUGGCCCAGGGAGGUGGGCAACUACCACCCAGGGCCGGAAAGCUCUCCAAACUCGGUCAUUUAGAGGAAGUAAAAGUCGUAACAAGGUCUCCGUUGGUGAACCAGCGGAGGGAUCAUUACCGAGUUAUCCAACUCCCAACCCCUGUGAAUUAUACCUUUAAUUGUUGCUUCGGCGGGACUUCGCGCCCGCCGGGGACCCAAACCUUCUGAAUUUUUUAAUAAGUAUCUUCUGAGUGGUUAAAAAAAAUGAAUCAAAACUUUCAACAACGGAUCUCUUGGUUCUGGCAUCGAUGAAGAACGCAGCGAAAUGCGAUAAGUAAUGUGAAUUGCAGAAUUCAGUGAAUCAUCGAAUCUUUGAACGCACAUUGCGCCCGUCAGUAUUCUGGCGGGCAUGCCUGUUCGAGCGUCAUUACGCCCCUCAAGUCCCCUGUGGACUUGGUGUUGGGGAUCGGCGAGGCUGGUUUUCCAGCACAGCCGUCCCUCAAAUCAAUUGGCGGUCUCGCCGUGGCCCUCCUCUGCGCAGUAGUAAAACACUCGCAACAGGAGCCCGGCGCGGUCCACUGCCGUAAAACCCCCCAACUUUUUAUAGUUGACCUCGAAUCAGGUAGGACUACCCGCUGAACUUAAGCAUAUCAAUAAGCGGAGGAAAAGAAACCAACAGGGAUUGCCCCAGUAACGGCGAGUGAAGCGGCAACAGCUCAAAUUUGAAAUCUGGUCCCCAGGGCCCGAGUUGUAAUUUGCAGAGGAUGCUUUUGGUGAGGUGCCUUCCGAGUUCCCUGGAACGGGACGCCAUAGAGGGUGAGAGCCCCGUCUGGUUGGAUACCGAGCCUCUGUAAAGCUCCUUCGACGAGUCGAGUAGUUUGGGAAUGCUGCUCUAAAUGGGAGGUAUAUGUCUUCUAAAGCUAAAUAUUGGCCAGAGACCGUAUUUAGCCGCACAAA